CUACGGGUCGCAGCAGUGAGGAAUAUUGCACAAUGGGGGGAACCCUGAUGCAGCAACGCCGCGUGGAGGAUGACGCAUUUCGGUGUGUAAACUCCUUUUAUAUGUCAAGAAAAUGACGGUAGCAUAUGAAUAAGCACCGGCUAACUCCGUGCCAGCAGCCGCGGUAAUACGGAGGGUGCAAGCGUUACUCGGAAUCACUGGGCGUAAAGGACGCGUAGGCGGGUUGGAAAGUCAGGUGUGAAAUCCUACAGCUUAACUGUAGAACUGCACUUGAAACUUCUAAUCUAGAGUAUGGGAGGGGGAGAUGGAAUUAGUGGUGUAGGGGUAAAAUCCGUAGAUAUCACUAGGAAUACCUAAAGCGAAGGCGAUCUCCUGGAACAUUACUGACGCUAAGGCAUGAAAGCGUGGGGAGCAAACAGGAUUAGAUACCCUCGUAGUC
Molecule: ribosomal RNA, 439 nt
Filed under: uncultured bacterium
Lineage: Bacteria
Description: partial 16S ribosomal RNA
Rfam family: Bacterial small subunit ribosomal RNA
Source: RNAcentral